This 305-nucleotide unclassified non-coding RNA is filed under the name Hevea brasiliensis (rubber tree). The record is from RNAcentral. Lineage: Eukaryota; Viridiplantae; Streptophyta; Magnoliopsida; Malpighiales; Euphorbiaceae.
GUCCUGGCUGCAUGAUGAGUCAUGCAUCAAUAAAUGAAAUCACUAUGAGAUCUAAGGCCAUGUAGUUAUGAUUAGGGAUGCUGAUGCCAAUAGUUAUCUAGCCUUGCAAAAUGAUUCUGAUGAUUUAUAGUUAAAAUUGAAAUUAAUGCAAGUAUAGUUUUGAAAUUUAUCUUAUGAGUGUGUUUCCAUUUUGAGGCAUCCAUAACUUUUGCUUCCAUUUACAUCCUCAAAGAAGUUUAUGCCUUCAAUAUAGCUAUUCUUACUUCAAGUGCCAGUGGUGUCUCAAGGAACAAUGUUCUGCUUUA